GUAUCUAAGCUGCAAUCGUCGAGUCUGAGUUGUAAGCGUCGAGUCUGAACUGUGAUCGUCGAGUCUGAACUAUGAUCGUUGAGUCUGACCGAGUCCUUGUGAUGAACUUUUGACUUAGCAUUCCUCUUGGUUCAAGAUAACUAAGGAAGGGCCAACCUCAUAGAGUGAAUCAAGGGUUAGGUUUGUUCUUGAGGUGCUUAUUUAG
This 205-nucleotide long non-coding RNA is filed under the name Panax ginseng (ginseng). RNAcentral describes it as "long non-coding RNA (PGIN_LNC018638)". The record is from RNAcentral. Lineage: Eukaryota; Viridiplantae; Streptophyta; Magnoliopsida; Apiales; Araliaceae.